AGGAUAAUAGUUUAAAUUUUAAAACAUUUAAUUUGCAUUUAAAAAAUCUAAAAAUUUUAAUUAGUUAUCUUA
This 72-nucleotide transfer RNA is filed under the name Ips sexdentatus. Its description in RNAcentral is "tRNA-Ala". The record is from RNAcentral. Lineage: Eukaryota; Metazoa; Arthropoda; Insecta; Coleoptera; Curculionidae.